AGUGAACGCUGGCGGUAGGCCUAACGCAUGCAAGUCGAACGGCAGCACAGUAAGAGCUUGCUCUUACGGGUGGCGAGUGGCGGACGGGUGAGGAAUACAUCGGAAUCUACUUUUUCGUGGGGGAUAACGUAGGGAAACUUACGCUAAUACCGCAUACGACCUACGGGUGAAAGCAGGGGAUCUUCGGACCUUGCGCGAUUGAAUGAGCCGAUGUCGGAUUAGCUAGUUGGCGGGGUAAAGGCCCACCAAGGCGACGAUCCGUAGCUGGUCUGAGAGGAUGAUCAGCCACACUGGAACUGAGACACGGUCCAGACUCCUACGGGAGGCAGCAGUGGGGAAUAUUGGACAAUGGGCGCAAGCCUGAUCCAGCCAUACCGCGUGGGUGAAGAAGGCCUUCGGGUUGUAAAGCCCUUUUGUUGGGAAAGAAAAGCAGCAGGUUAAUACCCCGCUGUCCUGACGGUACCCAAAGAAUAAGCACCGGCUAACUUCGUG
RNAcentral lists this ribosomal RNA (492 nucleotides) under uncultured bacterium. RNAcentral's name for it is "partial 16S ribosomal RNA". It matches the Rfam family "Bacterial small subunit ribosomal RNA", at positions 29 to 507 of the family's 1533-position model. The record is from RNAcentral.